Molecule: ribosomal RNA, 457 nt
Filed under: Staphylococcus epidermidis NIHLM061
Lineage: Bacteria; Bacillati; Bacillota; Bacilli; Caryophanales; Staphylococcaceae
Description: bacterial SSU rRNA
Rfam family: Bacterial small subunit ribosomal RNA
Source: RNAcentral
AAGUCCCGCAACGAGCGCAACCCUUAAGCUUAGUUGCCAUCAUUAAGUUGGGCACUCUAAGUUGACUGCCGGUGACAAACCGGAGGAAGGUGGGGAUGACGUCAAAUCAUCAUGCCCCUUAUGAUUUGGGCUACACACGUGCUACAAUGGACAAUACAAAGGGCAGCGAAACCGCGAGGUCAAGCAAAUCCCAUAAAGUUGUUCUCAGUUCGGAUUGUAGUCUGCAACUCGACUAUAUGAAGCUGGAAUCGCUAGUAAUCGUAGAUCAGCAUGCUACGGUGAAUACGUUCCCGGGUCUUGUACACACCGCCCGUCACACCACGAGAGUUUGUAACACCCGAAGCCGGUGGAGUAACCAUUUGGAGCUAGCCGUCGAAGGUGGGACAAAUGAUUGGGGUGAAGUCGUAACAAGGUAGCCGUAUCGGAAGGUGCGGCUGGAUCACCUCCUUUCUAAGGA